GACUACGAAAAAGAGUGGCCCUUAGCUGC
Molecule: small RNA, 29 nt
Filed under: Bombyx mori (domestic silkworm)
Lineage: Eukaryota; Metazoa; Arthropoda; Insecta; Lepidoptera; Bombycidae
Description: ovarian small RNA-15594
Source: RNAcentral